AAUAGAUACCCGGGUAGUCCUAGCCGUAAACGAUGAGCACUGGGUUGAAGGGUCCUCCAUAGCCUUUCAGCCGCAGCGAAAGUGUUAAGUGCUCCGCCUGGGGAGUAUGGUCGCAAGGCUGAAACUCAAAGAAAUUGACGGGGGCUCACACAAGCGGUGGAGGAUGUGGCUUAAUUCGAGGCUACGCGAAGAACCUUAUCCUAGUCUUGACAUGCACGGAUUAACUCCCUGAAAGGGGAGCCAGGCCUUCGGGUACAACGUGCACAGGUGCUGCAUGGCUGUCGUCAGCUCGUGCUGUGAAGUGUCGGGUUAAGUCCCUUAACGAGCGAAACCCUUGUCGCUAGUUGCCAGCGAGUAAUGUCGGGGACUCUAGCGAGACCGCCGGCGUUAAGCCGGAGGAAGGCGGGGAUGACGUCAAGUCCUCAUGGCCUUUAUGACUAGGGCUGCACACGUCCUACAAUGGCGCGCACAAAGGGAUGCAAAAUCGCGAGAUCAAGCAAAUCCCAAAAAACGCGCCCCAGUUCGGAUUGC
Molecule: ribosomal RNA, 531 nt
Filed under: uncultured bacterium
Lineage: Bacteria
Description: bacterial SSU rRNA
Rfam family: Bacterial small subunit ribosomal RNA
Source: RNAcentral